UAUAUUUCCGACAUGAGGAAUCCUACCAACUGAGACGGCACGAUUCUACUUCUCCCUUUCCUAUUGUUAUGGACUUGCUUUCCACGGCCAUAAAUGGCAGCCAGAGCUUCAGGACUUGGCCGGAGCGUGGUUCUUUGAGAAAUGACAAUUUUGCCUUGGAGCUGAGUGACUGCUGUAGGUGUUACUGGAUGCGUGUGGACCUUAUAGAAUCACUGGCUUGGUGCCUCAUCAUAUGAAAUAAAGAAAGGUAAAACCCUA
This is a long non-coding RNA of Mastomys coucha (southern multimammate mouse), 258 nucleotides long. RefSeq lists it as uncharacterized. NCBI's taxonomy places the organism in Eukaryota, Metazoa, Chordata, Mammalia, Rodentia, Muridae. The transcript has 2 exons. The record is from RefSeq and is a predicted model, not a curated record.